RNAcentral lists this ribosomal RNA (497 nucleotides) under uncultured bacterium. Its description in RNAcentral is "partial 16S ribosomal RNA". It matches the Rfam family "Bacterial small subunit ribosomal RNA", at positions 28 to 507 of the family's 1533-position model. The record is from RNAcentral.
GAUGAACGCUGGCGGCGUGCCUAAUACAUGCAAGUCGAGCGAACAGAUGAGGAGCUUGCUCCUCUGACGUUAGCGGCGGACGGGUGAGUAACACGUGGAUAACCUACCUAUAAGACUGGGAUAACUUCGGGAAACCGGAGCUACUACCGGAUAAUAUAUUGAACCGCAUGGUUCAAUAGUUAAAGACGGUUUUGCUGUCACUUAUAGAUGGAUCCGCGCCGCAUUAGCUAGUUGGUAAGGUAACGGCUUACCAAGGCAACGAUGCGUAGCCGACCUGAGAGGGUGAUCAGCCACACUGGAACUGAGACACGGUCCAGACUCCUACGGGAGGCAGCAGUAGGGAAUAUUCGGCAAUGGGCGAAAGCCUGACGGAGCAACGCCGCGUGAGUGAUGAAGGUCUUCGGAUCGUAAAACUCUGUUAUUAGGGAAGAACAAAUGUGUAAGUAACUAUGCACGUCUUGACGGUACCUAAUCAGAAAGCCACGGCUAACUACGUG